GUCUCUGGUUGGGCAAAGAGGGAGGAGAUGGGUGUCAUCUCCCAAUUGGAGGAAAUUUGAAAUUUUGGUUCAAAUUUUAGGGCUUUGUAACUGUUUACGGUUCUCUCUCCCCUCCAUUUGUUAUUAUCGAUACUGAUUUUAACGGCCAAUACUUAUGGGACAGCAAUGCCACUCAAAAUGGAUCUCGAGAGGCAAAUUCUCUCGCGGGGCAUAAGAAAAGAAAAGAAAAGACUAGCGAUGGAGAACUCAAGUUCCAGCAGUGAGUUGCAGACGCUCAUAGAAGCCAUAAAAAUUUUAGAGGACUGAUCAUGCACCCUGCAAUUGGAGUGGGAAUGGAACUUCAGAAAGAAAAGAAUCCAAGACAGUGGGACUCGGGACAAGUCGGUUAAUCUACGUGCAAUUCACGUGUCGGUGUGUUCUCCUAUUAUUAUGAACCACCCGACCUGGAAGCUUUUAUUGGGUGGACAAUUCGAGAUCUUUAAGAGGAGAGGAGACAACAUCUGCAGCAGAACAUAUUGUUGCUUUCAAAUAAUUUGGAAAGAAAGAUACAGUGGUAUCUGAAUUGUAUAGAAGUUGAAUAAGAUGGCGGAGGAAGAAAAAAAGAAGGGGGUGGUGGUCGAAUCCCUAGGAUGGCUAACGGAAUCUUCCAUCAUGCCCAAGUUCGUAGGGCCUGGAAAAACUGCUGGAAUCCUUGACAAUGAUGAGCAUAAAGCAUUUCGUAAGGUUGAUUUUUGGUCGGGUUUCUUGAAGCUUUAAGGUUGUAUGGUCGUGGUUAGCGCCAAAUAGAAGAGCAUGUAGGCACCAAAUCUGCAGUUCAAAUUCGAAGCCAUGCUCAAAAGUUUUUCUCUAAGGCUCAUUGCUUUGAGUUCAUUACAAGAUUUCCUUGAUUAAGUAGAUGUAUUAUAUCUUUUAUUACCAAGAUUUACUUGAUUAAGAAAAUGCAUUGUAUGUUUUAUU
This is a long non-coding RNA of Gossypium raimondii (Peruvian cotton), 957 nucleotides long. RefSeq lists it as uncharacterized. Lineage: Eukaryota; Viridiplantae; Streptophyta; Magnoliopsida; Malvales; Malvaceae. The transcript is spliced from 6 exons. The record is from RefSeq and is a predicted model, not a curated record.